CAUAGGUUAAUGAGGCGAACCGGGGGAACUGAAACAUCUAAGUACCCCGAGGAAAAGAAAUCAACCGAGAUUCCCCCAGUAGCGGCGAGCGAACGGGGAGGAGCCCAGAGCCUGAAUCAGUGUGUGUGUUAGUGGAAGCGUCUGGAAAGGCGCGCGAUACAGGGUGACAGCCCCGUACACAAAAAUGCACAUAUUGUGAGCUCGAUGAGUAGGGCGGGACACGUGGUAUCCUGUCUGAAUAUGGGGGGACCAUCCUCCAAGGCUAAAUACUCCUGACUGACCGAUAGUGAACCAGUACCGUGAGGGAAAGGCGAAAAGAACCCCGGCGAGGGGAGUGAAAAAGAACCUGAAACCGUGUACGUACAAGCAGUGGGAGCACGCUUAGGCGUGUGACUGCGUACCUUUUGUAUAAUGGGUCAGCGACUUAUAUUCUGUAGCAAGGUUAACCGAAUAGGGGAGCCGAAGGGAAACCGAGUCUUAACUGGGCGUUAAGUUGCAGGGUAUAGACCCGAAACCCGGUGAUCUAGCCAUGGGCAGGUUGAAGGUUGGGUAACACUAACUGGAGGACCGAACCGACUAAUGUUGAAAAAUUAGCGGAUGACUUGUGGCUGGGGGUGAAAGGCCAAUCAAACCGGGAGAUAGCUGGUUCUCCCCGAAAGCUAUUUAGGUAGCGCCUCGUGAAUUCAUCUCCGGGGGUAGAGCACUGUUUCGGCAAGGGGGUCAUCCCGACUUACCAACCCGAUGCAAACUGCGAAUACCGGAGAAUGUUAUCACGGGAGACACACGGCGGGUGCUAACGUCCGUCGUGAAGAGGGAAACAACCCAGACCGCCAGCUAAGGUCCCAAAGUCAUGGUUAAGUGGGAAACGAUGUGGGAAGGCCCAGACAGCCAGGAUGUUGGCUUAGAAGCAGCCAUCAUUUAAAGAAAGCGUAAUAGCUCACUGGUCGAGUCGGCCUGCGCGGAAGAUGUAACGGGGCUAAACCAUGCACCGAAGCUGCGGCAGCGACGCUGAUGCGUUGUUGGGUAGGGGAGCGUUCUGUAAGCCUGUGAAGGUGUGCUGUGAGGCAUGCUGGAGGUAUCAGAAGUGCGAAUGCUGACAUAAGUAACGAUAAAGCGGGUGAAAAGCCCGCUCGCCGGAAGACCAAGGGUUCCUGUCCAACGUUAAUCGGGGCAGGGUGAGUCGACCCCUAAGGCGAGGCCGAAAGGCGUAGUCGAUGGGAAACAGGUUAAUAUUCCUGUACUUGGUGUUACUGCGAAGGGGGGACGGAGAAGGCUAUGUUGGCCGGGCGACGGUUGUCCCGGUUUAAGCGUGUAGGCUGGUUUUCCAGGCAAAUCCGGAAAAUCAAGGCUGAGGCGUGAUGACGAGGCACUACGGUGCUGAAGCAACAAAUGCCCUGCUUCCAGGAAAAGCCUCUAAGCAUCAGGUAACAUCAAAUCGUACCCCAAACCGACACAGGUGGUCAGGUAGAGAAUACCAAGGCGCUUGAGAGAACUCGGGUGAAGGAACUAGGCAAAAUGGUGCCGUAACUUCGGGAGAAGGCACGCUGAUAUGUAGGUGAAGUCCCUCGCGGAUGGAGCUGAAAUCAGUCGAAGAUACCAGCUGGCUGCAACUGUUUAUUAAAAACACAGCACUGUGCAAACACGAAAGUGGACGUAUACGGUGUGACGCCUGCCCGGUGCCGGAAGGUUAAUUGAUGGGGUCAGCGCAAGCGAAGCUCUUGAUCGAAGCCCCGGUAAACGGCGGCCGUAACUAUAACGGUCCUAAGGUAGCGAAAUUCCUUGUCGGGUAAGUUCCGACCUGCACGAAUGGCGUAAUGAUGGCCAGGCUGUCUCCACCCGAGACUCAGUGAAAUUGAACUCGCUGUGAAGAUGCAGUGUACCCGCGGCAAGACGGAAAGACCCCGUGAACCUUUACUAUAGCUUGACACUGAACAUUGAGCCUUGAUGUGUAGGAUAGGUGGGAGGCUUAGAAGUGUGGACGCCAGUCUGCAUGGAGCCGACCUUGAAAUACCACCCUUUAAUGUUUGAUGUUCUAACGUUGACCCGUAAUCCGGGUUGCGGACAGUGUCUGGUGGGUAGUUUGACUGGGGCGGUCUCCUCCUAAAGAGUAACGGAGGAGCACGAAGGUUGGCUAAUCCUGGUCGGACAUCAGGAGGUUAGUGCAAUGGCAUAAGCCAGCUUGACUGCGAGCGUGACGGCGCGAGCAGGUGCGAAAGCAGGUCAUAGUGAUCCGGUGGUUCUGAAUGGAAGGGCCAUCGCUCAACGGAUAAAAGGUACUCCGGGGAUAACAGGCUGAUACCGCCCAAGAGUUCAUAUCGACGGCGGUGUUUGGCACCUCGAUGUCGGCUCAUCACAUCCUGGGGCUGAAGUAGGUCCCAAGGGUAUGGCUGUUCGCCAUUUAAAGUGGUACGCGAGCUGGGUUUAGAACGUCGUGAGACAGUUCGGUCCCUAUCUGCCGUGGGCGCUGGAGAACUGAGGGGGGCUGCUCCUAGUACGAGAGGACCGGAGUGGACGCAUCACUGGUGUUCGGGUUGUCAUGCCAAUGGCACUGCCCGGUAGCUAAAUGCGGAAGAGAUAAGUGCUGAAAGCAUCUAAGCACGAAACUUGCCCCGAGAUGAGUUCUCCCUGACCCUUUAAGGGUCCUGAAGGAACGUUGAAGACGACGACGUUGAUAGGCCGGGUGUGUAAGCGCAGCGAUGCGUUGAGCUAACCGGUACUAAUGAACCGUGAGGCUUAACCUU
This 2741-nucleotide ribosomal RNA is filed under the name Escherichia coli. RNAcentral's name for it is "partial 23S ribosomal RNA". It matches the Rfam family "Bacterial large subunit ribosomal RNA". The record is from RNAcentral. Lineage: Bacteria; Pseudomonadati; Pseudomonadota; Gammaproteobacteria; Enterobacterales; Enterobacteriaceae.